CCCUACUCUUGUUCUUUGAAGGUUCAAUUUUGGUAUGAAGCCGAGUCACGUCCUACUCUCUUCCGGAUCAGCGAUUUACCGAACGUGUAUCUAAAUGAUGAUCAAUGACUAUGAAAACAGGACACUUGAUUGAGCAAAUAAUAAUGAAUUAUAUGUAGACUGUAGUUUUUAAUUCACACAAUAAGUGUUUCCAUUUCCUCAGUAACACUAGUAUGUCAUUACUUACAAGUUACAACAAUCACAAAUCUUCCUGUACCCAAACGAACCAAAAACGUGUAAACCGACAAUUGAACACAAAAUCUUAGUGGGUGCCUUGAACAAAUUAAAUCCCCCAAUAGGUGACAUGAACGGAAGACUGGUAAUUCCCCAAGAAAAACAACGCCACAACCAGAGCACCCAAACCCAAAGGCUGCAGAUGCUUCUUUAAAGAUUCAAAGGGGUCAUAACCAAUUGGGGUUUCGAUCCCAAAGAGGUGUCUUGAAAGUUGGCCAAUGGGUUCAAGAACAUGCAACGCAGCGAGUACAAGUAGUAUUAGCAAAAAAGAUAUCAAACCCACUCGGUCUAUCAUAGGCUUGCAAAUUGGUGAUGAGAAUGAUGAGAUUGACAUGCGCAGAAAGACGACCGUUGCCGCUGAAACGACUCCGGGAAGAACACGGGUAACCCAUAGAGGCCCUGAUGUGCUUAUUGUUCUGUGAACUCCCAUGUUGAUUGCAUUGAAUAUCCUAAGCGACCUUCGAUCAAACAGUUUAUGGGUUCUUGAAAAUGAGAAUUUCUUGAUUUUUUGUUUGGAGAACGGAGAGAGAAGUGCGGAGAGAGGAGAAGGGUCAGUCCAUAACCGUCUAACUUGUUCUUCGGAUUUUUUGACCGUUAACUUCUUUUUUCUUUUUUG
This 889-nucleotide long non-coding RNA is filed under the name Prunus dulcis (almond). Its description in RNAcentral is "sRNA ncRNA". Lineage: Eukaryota; Viridiplantae; Streptophyta; Magnoliopsida; Rosales; Rosaceae. The record is from RNAcentral.